GGGUUGGGCUGAGGGUAGUAGAGAAGGGGUUGGUGAGGGUACUAGAGAAGGGGUUGGUGAGGGACUGAGGGUAAUAGAGAAGGGGUUGGUGAGGGUACUAGAGAAGGGGUUGGUGAGGGUAGUAGAGAAGGGGUUGGUGAGGGUACUAGAGAAGGGGUUGGUGAGGGUACUAGAGAAGGGGUUGGUGAGGGUAGUAGAGAAGGGGGUUGGUGAGGGUAGUAGAGAAGGGGUUGGGAGGGUAGUAGAGAAGGGGUUGGUGAGGGUAGUAGAGAAGGGGUUGGUGAGGGUAGUAGAGAAGGGUUUGGUGAGGGUAGUAGAGAAGGGGUUGGUGAGG
Molecule: long non-coding RNA, 334 nt
Organism: Oncorhynchus tshawytscha (Chinook salmon)
Lineage: Eukaryota; Metazoa; Chordata; Actinopteri; Salmoniformes; Salmonidae
Source: Ensembl